UACGUAGGUGGCAAGCGUUGUCCGGAUUUACUGGGCGUAAAGAGCGCGCAGGCGGUCGUUCAAGUCGCGUGUGAAAGCCCCCGGCUCGACUGGGGAGGGUCACGCGAUACUGAUCGACUCGAAGGCAGGAGAGGGUAGUGGAAUUCCCGGUGUAGUGGUGAAAUGCGUAGAUAUCGGGAGGAACACCAGUGGCGAAGGCGACUACCUGGCCUGUUCUUGACGCCGAGGCGCGAAAGCUAGGGGAGCAAACGGG
Molecule: ribosomal RNA, 253 nt
Filed under: uncultured bacterium
Lineage: Bacteria
Description: partial 16S ribosomal RNA
Rfam family: Bacterial small subunit ribosomal RNA
Source: RNAcentral